UACGUAGGGGGCAAGCGUUGUCCGGAAUCAUUGGGCGUAAAGCGUGUGUAGGCGGAAUUGUAAGUACCUUGUGAAAUCCCACGGCUCAACCGUGGAACUGCUCGGUAUACUGCUUUUCUUGAGCCACUUAGGGGCUGUCGGAACAAACGGUGGAGCGGUGAAAUGCGUAGAUAUCGUUUGGAACGCCAAUGGUGAAAACAGACAGCUGGGAGUGUGCUGACGCUGAGACACGAAAGCCAGGGGAGCGAACGGG
Molecule: ribosomal RNA, 253 nt
Filed under: uncultured bacterium
Lineage: Bacteria
Description: partial 16S ribosomal RNA
Rfam family: Bacterial small subunit ribosomal RNA
Source: RNAcentral